AAAGCUGUUGACCGAAACACACACGAAAGAAAACGCUCUCCACUGUCAUACCUUUGAAUCCUGGCUGAGGAAGAGCAAGACCUGGAGUCAUCUCAACUAAUGAUACUCUGUGACUGACUCAUCAAAAAGAGGUUAUUUACUUUGCUGCUGCCUGCACACAUCUUCCUACUUUUUG
RNAcentral lists this long non-coding RNA (175 nucleotides) under Dromaius novaehollandiae (emu). RNAcentral describes it as "lncRNA (ENSDNVG00000010969.1)". The record is from RNAcentral. Lineage: Eukaryota; Metazoa; Chordata; Aves; Casuariiformes; Dromaiidae.